Molecule: microRNA precursor, 99 nt
Organism: Naja naja (Indian cobra)
Lineage: Eukaryota; Metazoa; Chordata; Lepidosauria; Squamata; Elapidae
Source: Ensembl
GAGCAGCUGGGAGUUUGGGGCUGGGUCUUUGCGGGCGAGAUGAGAAGUUUCUGCCUUCAACUGGCCUACAAAGUCCCAGUUCUCGGCUCUUAACUUUGC